RNAcentral lists this ribosomal RNA (1244 nucleotides) under Salmonella enterica. Its description in RNAcentral is "partial 23S ribosomal RNA". It matches the Rfam family "Bacterial large subunit ribosomal RNA", at positions 84 to 1230 of the family's 2925-position model. RNAcentral also lists the same sequence under 1 other name. The record is from RNAcentral. Lineage: Bacteria; Pseudomonadati; Pseudomonadota; Gammaproteobacteria; Enterobacterales; Enterobacteriaceae.
AGGUGAUAUGAACCGUUAUAACCGGCGAUACCCGAAUGGGGAAACCCAGUGUGACUCGUCACACUAUCAUUAACUGAAUCCAUAGGUUAAUGAGGCGAACCGGGGGAACUGAAACAUCUAAGUACCCCGAGGAAAAGAAAUCAACCGAGAUUCCCCCAGUAGCGGCGAGCGAACGGGGAGGAGCCCAGAGCCUGAAUCAGCAUGUGUGUUAGUGGAAGCGUCUGGAAAGGCGCGCGAUACAGGGUGACAGCCCCGUACACAAAAGCGCAUGUGCUGUGAGCUCGAUGAGUAGGGCGGGACACGUGGUAUCCUGUCUGAAUAUGGGGGGACCAUCCUCCAAGGCUAAAUACUCCUGACUGACCGAUAGUGAACCAGUACCGUGAGGGAAAGGCGAAAAGAACCCCGGCGAGGGGAGUGAAAAAGAACCUGAAACCGUGUACGUACAAGCAGUGGGAGCCCCACCACCAAAGCAUUUGCUGUACCGCGUUGACGGAGCGAAGCGACGUCAAACCGAUAAAACAGCAGUGUAAAGUGAGCCGCAGGGCGCUUUGCGCGACAGCGCAAAGGCAGGCGGUUUCGCGUAGCGAAAGCGAAUGCUUUGGGGUGGGGUGACUGCGUACCUUUUGUAUAAUGGGUCAGCGACUUAUAUUCUGUAGCAAGGUUAACCGAAUAGGGGAGCCGGAGGGAAACCGAGUCUUAAUUGGGCGUUAAGUUGCAGGGUAUAGACCCGAAACCCGGUGAUCUAGCCAUGGGCAGGUUGAAGGUUGGGUAACACUAACUGGAGGACCGAACCGACUAAUGUUGAAAAAUUAGCGGAUGACCUGUGGCUGGGGGUGAAAGGCCAAUCAAACCGGGAGAUAGCUGGUUCUCCCCGAAAGCUAUUUAGGUAGCGCCUCGUGAAUUCAUCUCCGGGGGUAGAGCACUGUUUCGGCUAGGGGGCCAUCCCGGCUUACCAACCCGAUGCAAACUGCGAAUACCGGAGAAUGUUAUCACGGGAGACACACGGCGGGUGCUAACGUCCGUCGUGAAGAGGGAAACAACCCAGACCGCCAGCUAAGGUCCCAAAGUCAUGGUUAAGUGGGAAACGAUGUGGGAAGGCCCAGACAGCCAGGAUGUUGGCUUAGAAGCAGCCAUCAUUUAAAGAAAGCGUAAUAGCUCACUGGUCGAGUCGGCCUGCGCGGAAGAUGUAACGGGGCUAAACCAUGCACCGAAGCUGCGGCAGCGACACUGUGUGUUGUUGGGUA